This 235-nucleotide ribosomal RNA is filed under the name uncultured bacterium. RNAcentral's name for it is "partial 16S ribosomal RNA". It matches the Rfam family "Bacterial small subunit ribosomal RNA", at positions 96 to 334 of the family's 1533-position model. The record is from RNAcentral.
UGGCGGACGGGUAAGUAAUGUCUGGGAAACUGCCUGAUGGAGGGGGAUAACUACUGGAAACGGUAGCUAAUACCGCAUAACGUCGCAAGACCAAAGAGGGGGACCUUAGGGCCUCUUGCCAUCGGAUGUGCCCAGAUGGGAUUAGCUAGUAGGUGGGGUAACGGCUCACCUAGGCGACGAUCCCUAGCUGGUCUGAGAGGAUGACCAGCCACACUGGAACUGAGACACGGUCCAG